RNAcentral lists this ribosomal RNA (912 nucleotides) under uncultured marine bacterium. RNAcentral describes it as "bacterial SSU rRNA". It matches the Rfam family "Bacterial small subunit ribosomal RNA", at positions 60 to 962 of the family's 1533-position model. The record is from RNAcentral.
AGUCGAGCGUACGGGCCCUCCUUCGGGAGGGAAACCGAGCGGCAUAAGGGUGAGUAAUACUUAGGUAACUUGCCCUCGGGUAGGGGACAACCACGGGAAACUGUGGCUAAUACCGUAUACGUUCCCCACCACUACGGUGGAGGGGAGGAAAGGGGGGCAACUCCCGCCCGAGGAUGGGCCUAAGUCCUAUUAGCUAGUUGGUGAGGUAAUGGCUCACCAAGGCGACGAUGGGUAGCCGGCCUGAGAGGGUGAUCGGCCACACUGGGACUGAGACACUGCCCAGACUCCUACGGGAGGCUGCAGUCGAGAAUCAUCCGCAAUGGACGAAAGUCUGACGGUGCGACGCCGCGUGAAGGAAGAAGGCCUUCGGGUUGUAAACUUCUGUCACGGGUUAAGAAAUCUGUAUGGGUAACGCCAUACGGUUGACGAAACCGAAAGGAAGCCAUGGCUAACUCCGUGCCAGCAGCCGCGGUAAUACGGAGAUGGCUAGCGUUGUUCGGUAUCACUGGGCUUAAAGGGGGCGCAGGCGGCCCAGUCAGUCGGUAGGUGAAAUCCCUCGGCACAACCGAGGAACUGCCUCCGAUACUGCUGGGCUAGAGGCUCGUAGGGGAGAACAGAAUUCCUGGUGUAGCGGUGAAAUGCGUAGAUAUCAGGAAGAAUGCCGGUGGCGAAGGCGGUUCUCUGGGCGAGAUCUGACGCUGAGGCCCGAAAGCUGGGGGAGCGAACAGGAUUAGAUACCCUGGUAGUCCCAGCUGUAAACGAUGAGCACUGCGUAGAGGUACUUCGGUUUCUCUGCUCAAGCAAAAGUUUUAAGUGCUCCGCCUGGGGAGUAUGGUCGCAAGGCUGAAAACUCAAGUAAUUGACGGGGGCUCACACAGGCGGUGGAGGAUGUUCUUUAAUUCGAAGCAACGC